CCGAGCGAGGGCCUCCGGGUCCGACCUCCAACCCUUUGUUGUUACAAUCUCUGUUGCCUCGGGGGCGACCCGGCCUCCGCGUCGGGGCCCCCGGUGGACCCCCCAAUCAAACUCUGCGUCCAUGCGUCGGAGUCGCAAGUAAAUGUAAUCA
This 151-nucleotide unclassified non-coding RNA is filed under the name uncultured fungus. Its description in RNAcentral is "sequence contains ITS1, 5.8S rRNA gene". Lineage: Eukaryota; Fungi. The record is from RNAcentral.